This 1101-nucleotide long non-coding RNA is filed under the name Nothobranchius furzeri (turquoise killifish). Its description in RNAcentral is "lncRNA (ENSNFUG00015018097.1)". The record is from RNAcentral. Lineage: Eukaryota; Metazoa; Chordata; Actinopteri; Cyprinodontiformes; Nothobranchiidae.
AUGAUGUCAUACCUGUGGAUUCUGCUGUUGGGCAGCCUGCUGGCUUCACGCGCCACGGCGCAAGAAGAGGACGGCCCAGUUCCAGAGAUCUCUGAUGAUGCCGAGGUGUCUUUAGAUGAUGCUGAGGCUGAAACGGAGGCGGUCAACACAGAUGCAGAGGAACCACAGCUAGACGAAGAGCUAGAACGUGCAGCUGACGACCCUGAAACCCCUGAAGCGAUGACCCCUACAGCAUCAGACCCAGAAGUAGCACCUCCUGCAGGAGAUGGAGAUCCAGAAGAAGAAAGCGAGGAGACGAACACUGAUGCAGCUGAUGCCCCGGUAGAAGGAGAAGAAGAAGAAACAACAACUAUCACGGCAGAUCUUCCUGCAGAUAUAGGCGAGGAAAUAUCAACUACAGCAGAACCCGAACCACUGGAAACAACAGCUCCUACAGAAGAAGAGAAUCCAGAAGCAAGUGGAGAAGCGGCAACUCCUACACCUGCUGAUGAGCAAGUAGUCACCACCACCACUGCCAUUCUCCCUGAGCAAGAGAUAUCUACAACAACAACACCUCCGCCAUUCCCGGUUGUUCCUGUUAGGGAGGCCAAGCAGACAACAAUAACACCAACAACAACCCCAUCAACAACAACAACCCCAUCAACACCAGCACCAACACCAACACUCACAACAACCGCUGAAGUGAAGGAAAUUCUCGUAGUUACUGAAGCACCAUCUGAUCCUGAAGAGGUCACACCUGCAUCUGGAGCUGAUGAGACUACGUUUAUCGACAAUUAUGCAGAUCAAGUUGAAGAGAAAGUGCUUAACCCAGUGAAAGAUUCAAGGAAAAUCUUUGCAAGUCUACCACUCGACGCUGCAUCACACGACACACCUGAAACCGAUGAAACGAGCUCUAAACCUUUAGCGGCAGUCCUGUCUGGGAUUGUUGUGUCUGCAGUGGGAGCUGUGGCUGCGUAUUUCACCUACCAGAAGAAGAAACUGUGCUUCAAGAACAGGCAGGAAGCAGAUCCAGAGGCCGGAAACAAAGGAGAGAAAGCAGAUCCAGCAGAGGCUAAAUCAAAUCCUGAGGCUCUCGCCCCCCUUGUAGACCAGAAAUCAUGA